AAGUCGUAACAAGGUUUCCGUAGGUGAACCUGCGGAAGGAUCAUUAACACGUUAUCCACGUAUCACCAAGACAAAUGUUAUGUGCUACCGGAGGGGCAAACUGAACAUGUGCAUGCUUUAGCUAAGGAAAGGGCUUGACAGGUGAGAGCAAUCUCGCUGAUCGCUCGGCUAGAUGUGCCACUCUUGCUGACGGGCUUGCUUUUUGGCGGCUCCGAUGGCGGGUACUGUUGUAUUUGUUCUGUAAGGCAACUUCUGAUGGGGAGAGCGGUUCCUUGUAAACUCUCUGUCAGGAACAUUCUUUACUAUUUUCACCAAUUUUUGCUAGUUGACUUUUAUAUGUUGUUCUUUGUCUCGGCAAGGUUCACACGUUUAAUUAUUUGAACGUUAAAAAUACAACUCUUAGCAAUGGAUAUCUAGGUUCUC
Molecule: unclassified non-coding RNA, 423 nt
Filed under: fungal sp.
Lineage: Eukaryota; Fungi
Description: partial internal transcribed spacer region
Rfam family: Eukaryotic small subunit ribosomal RNA (bases 1-46)
Source: RNAcentral